This 504-nucleotide ribosomal RNA is filed under the name uncultured bacterium. RNAcentral describes it as "partial 16S ribosomal RNA". It matches the Rfam family "Bacterial small subunit ribosomal RNA", at positions 30 to 523 of the family's 1533-position model. The record is from RNAcentral.
AUUGAACGCUGGCGGCAGGCCUAACACAUGCAAGUCGAACGGUAGCACAGAGAGCUUGCUCUCGGGUGACGAGUGGCGGACGGGUGAGUAAUGUCUGGGAAACUGCCCGAUGGAGGGGGAUAACUACUGGAAACGGUAGCUAAUACCGCAUAACGUCUUCGGACCAAAGUGGGGGACCUUCGGGCCUCACACCAUCGGAUGUGCCCAGAUGGGAUUAGCUAGUAGGUGGGGUAAUGGCUCACCUAGGCGGCGAUCCCUAGCUGGUCUGAGAGGAUGACCAGCCACACUGGAACUGAGACACGGUCCAGACUCCGACGGGAGGCAGCAGUGGGGAAUAUUGCACAAUGGGCGCAAGCCUGAUGCAGCCAUGCCGCGUGUAUGAAGAAGGCCUUCGGGUUGUAAAGUACUUUCAGCGGGGAGGAAGGCGAUGGAGUUAAUAGCUUCAUCGAUUGACGUUACCCGCAGAAGAAGCACCGGCUAACUCCGUGCCAGCAGCCGCAGUAA